UAAUCGGCGCAUCCGCAACGGGUGCCCGAGCCGGGGACCCACGUUGUCCUCUGGGGUGAAUCCCUCCGACCGCACCCGCGGAACGGGGGGUAGGGCUGAUCUUCCCAGCCCGAACCCGUCAGCUAACUCGGUCGGCGGACGAACGGAAGA
This 150-nucleotide small RNA is filed under the name Rhodococcus ruber. RNAcentral describes it as "ydaO-yuaA". It matches the Rfam family "c-di-AMP riboswitch aptamer (ydaO/yuaA leader)". Rfam says of the family: This family represents a conserved RNA structure found upstream of the ydaO and yuaA genes in Bacillus subtilis and related genes in other bacteria. The ydaO/yuaA element is thought to act as a genetic "off" switch for the ydaO and yuaA genes in its native state. The record is from RNAcentral. Lineage: Bacteria; Bacillati; Actinomycetota; Actinomycetes; Mycobacteriales; Nocardiaceae.